GACGAACCGAGCGAACGUUGUUCGGAAUCACUGGGCUUAAAGGGCGCGUAGGCGGGUGCUCAAGUCCGGGGUGAAAUCCUCCAGCUCAACUGGAGAACUGCCUCGGAUACUGGGUGUCUCGAGGGUGGUAGGGGUAUGCGGAACUAUCGGUGGAGCGGUGAAAUGCGUUGAUAUCUACAGGAACUCCGGUGGCGAAAGCGGCGCGCUGGACCUCUUCUGACGCUGAGGCGCGAAAGCUAGGGGAGCAAACGGG
This 253-nucleotide ribosomal RNA is filed under the name uncultured bacterium. RNAcentral's name for it is "partial 16S ribosomal RNA". It matches the Rfam family "Bacterial small subunit ribosomal RNA", at positions 524 to 776 of the family's 1533-position model. The record is from RNAcentral.